Non-coding RNA from Mycena epipterygia, 75 nucleotides. NCBI's taxonomy places the organism in Eukaryota, Fungi, Basidiomycota, Agaricomycetes, Agaricales, Mycenaceae. The record is from the annotation of a GenBank genome assembly.
GGCCCGGUAGCGGAUGGUCCGCACCUGCACCCGCAUAUCCUGUAGGAGGCGCUCGUUCGAUUCGAGCCUAGGCCA